CUCCAUUAAAUUCUACAAUGCACACAAGAAUAAGAAAGGGAGGAAAACCAUUCAAUGGAAAAAUCUUGCUGGCAUUCCGGAGCAGAAAGAUAGUAAGACUUGUGGGUAUUGGAUCAUGCGCUACAUGAAGGAGAUAGUGGAAGAUAAGAAUUUGGAGUUUGCAGCUAAAUGGGAAAGAAGGACAAAUCUUAUUUACACAGAAAAGGACAUUGAUCAAGUUCGGGCAGAAUGGGCGAAGCAUGUUAUCAUGUUUCCAGAUAUGUAGUGUGCGUGCUAGGAGGUUUGUCGAUGAUGAAUAGUUAGGGUUUGUUUUUGUGCAUAUUGACAUCAGCAUGCCUAUAUAGCUAGAUAUUGGAGGGUUUUUUGCCUAACCAAAUGAUCGGCUUUUGCUAUUAUCGAUCAUUUUAACCUUAGCAGCUGAUUAGUCACUUUUAGCCUAACCAAAUGAUCGGCUUUUGCUAUUAUCGAUCAUUUUAACCUUAGCAGCUGAUUAGUCACUUUUAGCCUCCAUGGAUUUUAAUCUGUUGAUUAUUUUCAACAGUUGAUGUACAUUGGUGGAAUAUGGAAAUGGUAGUACAUGAUUU
Molecule: long non-coding RNA, 584 nt
Organism: Rosa rugosa (rugosa rose)
Lineage: Eukaryota; Viridiplantae; Streptophyta; Magnoliopsida; Rosales; Rosaceae
Exons: 3
Source: RefSeq, a predicted model, not a curated record